GCUGCCAUAAAAAAGAAGAAUCAUGGUCAAAGCUAAGUCAUGGGUAAUGACUAAGCACUUUGACGGCUUCCCAAAGAAAAGCGACUUUGGGCUGAAGGUGGAGGAGCUCCCUGAGCCCAAAGAUGGAGAGGUGCUGUUGGAAGCUGUGUUUCUCAGUGUCGACCCGUACAUGAGGCCCUUCAGCAAAACCCACAUGAAGGAGGGAGAUGUGAUGAUCGGAGGUCAGGUGGCCAA
Molecule: non-coding RNA, 234 nt
Organism: Neolamprologus brichardi
Lineage: Eukaryota; Metazoa; Chordata; Actinopteri; Cichliformes; Cichlidae
Source: RefSeq, a predicted model, not a curated record